Molecule: ribosomal RNA, 253 nt
Filed under: uncultured bacterium
Lineage: Bacteria
Description: partial 16S ribosomal RNA
Rfam family: Bacterial small subunit ribosomal RNA
Source: RNAcentral
UACGUAGGUGGCAAGCGUUGUCCGGAUUUACUGGGCGUAAAGGGCGUGCAGGCGGUUUGUUAAGUUCAGGGUGAAAGCUCCCGGCUCAACUGGGAGAGGUCCUUGGAUACUGGCAGACUUGAGGAGGGUAGAGGAGAGUGGAACUCCCGGUGUAGUGGUGAUAUGCGUAGAUAUCGGGAGGAACACCAGUGGCGAAGGCGGCUCUCUGGGCCCUACCUGACGCUGAGACGCGAAAGCGUGGGGAGCGAACCGG